AUUCCCCUAGUAGCGGCGAGCGAAGCGGGAAAAGCUCAAAUUUGUAAUCUGGCGCUUUCGGCGUCCGAGUUGUAAUCUCGAGAAGUGUUUUCCGCGUCAGACCGCACACAAGUCUCCUGGAACGGAGCGUCAUAGUGGUGAGAACCCAGUACACGGUGCGGAUGCCUGAUGCUUUGUGAUACACUUUCGAAGAGUCGAGUUGUUUGGGAAUGCAGCUCAAAUUGGGUGGUAAAUUCCAUCUAAAGCUAAAUAUUGGCGAGAGACCGAUAGCGAACAAGUACCGUGAGGGAAAGAUGAAAAGCACUUUGGAAAGAGAGUUAACAGUACGUGAAAUUGUUGGAAGGGAAACGCUUGAAGUCAGACUUGCUAUUCGGAGCUUGCUUCGAUUCGCAGGCCCGCAUCAGUUUUUCGGGGCGGAAAAUCGUAGAGAGAAGGUAGCAGUUUCGGCUGUGUUAUAGCUUUCUACUGGAUUCGUCCUGGGGGACUGAGGAACGCAGCGUGCUUUUUGCAUGGGCUUCGGCCUAUCCACGCUUAGGAUGCGGGUGGAAUGGCUUUAAACGACCCGUCUUGAAACAC
This 576-nucleotide ribosomal RNA is filed under the name Sporobolomyces johnsonii. Its description in RNAcentral is "LSU rRNA". It matches the Rfam family "Eukaryotic large subunit ribosomal RNA", at positions 74 to 662 of the family's 3401-position model. The record is from RNAcentral. Lineage: Eukaryota; Fungi; Basidiomycota; Microbotryomycetes; Sporidiobolales; Sporidiobolaceae.